Molecule: ribosomal RNA, 467 nt
Filed under: uncultured bacterium
Lineage: Bacteria
Description: partial 16S ribosomal RNA
Rfam family: Bacterial small subunit ribosomal RNA
Source: RNAcentral
GACGAACGCUGGCGGCGUGCUUAACACAUGCAAGUCGAACGGAAAGGCCCUGCUUUUGUGGGGUGCUCGAGUGGCGAACGGGUGAGUAACACGUGAGUAACCUGCCCUUGACUUUGGGAUAACUUCAGGAAACUGGGGCUAAUACCGGAUAGGAGCUCCUGCUGCAUGGUGGGGGUUGGAAAGUUUCGGCGGUUGGGGAUGGACUCGCGGCUUAUCAGCUUGUUGGUGGGGUAGUGGCUUACCAAGGCUUUGACGGGUAGCCGGCCUGAGAGGGUGACCGGCCACAUUGGGACUGAGAUACGGCCCAGACUCCUACGGGAGGCAGCAGUGGGGAAUAUUGCACAAUGGGCGGAAGCCUGAUGCAGCAACGCCGCGUGCGGGAGGACGGCCUUCGGGUUGUAAACCGCUUUCGCCUGUGACGAAGCGUGAGUGACGGGAAUGGGUAAAGAAGCACCGGCUAACUACGU